CGGCCCCCAUUUGAUGACACCUUCUUUGGAGGAAGACCAUUGCAACCUGAGAUGGUGGGCAACAGAGAAUUCAUCCCCAUCUUUCAGGCUGACAAUGUGACAUUACAG
Long non-coding RNA from Coregonus clupeaformis (lake whitefish), 108 nucleotides. RefSeq lists it as uncharacterized. The record is from RefSeq and is a predicted model, not a curated record. The transcript is spliced from 3 exons. NCBI's taxonomy places the organism in Eukaryota, Metazoa, Chordata, Actinopteri, Salmoniformes, Salmonidae.